ACCUGGUUGAUCCUGCCAGUAGUCAUAUGCUUGUCUCAAAGAUUAAGCCAUGCAUGUCUAAGUAAAAACUAAAUUAUGGCGAAACUGCAAAUGGCUCAUUACAACGGUUAUGAUGUACCCGGGAUCUCCGAUGGAUAUUUCCAGUAACACUAGAGCUAAUACAUGUAACUGCGUUUAUUAGUUUCAAACAAAUCUGUCGCUGAGUCAUGGUAAACAGUUGAUCGCUUCGACGCCCGGAACAGUUUCCGCCCCAUCAGCUUCGAUGGUUGGGUAUUGGCCUACCAUUGCAUCAACGGGUAACGAGGAAUUAGGGUUUGAUUUCGGAGAGGGAGCCAGAGAAACGGCAACCACAUCUACGGAUGGCCA
RNAcentral lists this ribosomal RNA (366 nucleotides) under uncultured ciliate. RNAcentral's name for it is "bacterial SSU rRNA". It matches the Rfam family "Eukaryotic small subunit ribosomal RNA", at positions 1 to 427 of the family's 1831-position model. The record is from RNAcentral. Lineage: Eukaryota; Ciliophora.